AGCAUACAAGGCAGACGGCUCAGUAACGCGUAGUCAACCUAACCUAUGGACGGGAAUAACCUCGGGAAACUGAGUAUAAUGCCCGAUAGAACACUAUACCUGGAAUGGUUUGUGUUCCAAAUGAUUUAUCGCCGUAGGAUGGGACUGCGGCCUAUCAGUUUGUUGGUGAGGUAAUGGCCCACCAAGACUAUUACAGGUACGGGCUCUGAGAGGAGUAGCCCGGAGAUGGGUACUGAGACACGGACCCAGGCCCUAUGGGGCGCAGCAGGCGAGAAAACUUUGCAAUGUGCGAAAGCACGACAAGGUUAAUCCGAGUGGUUUCUGCUAAAGAAACCUUUUGUCGGUCCUAGAAACACCGAUGAAUAAGGGGUGGGCAAGUUCUGGUGUCAGCCGCCGCGGUAAAACCAGCACCUCAAGUGGUCAGGAUGAUUAUUGGGCCUAAAGCAUCCGUAGCCGGCUCUGUAAGUUUUCGGUUAAAUCUGUACGCUCAACGUACAGGCUGCCGGGAAUACUGCAGAGCUAGGGAGUGGGAGAGGUAGACGGUACUCGGUAGGAAGGGGUAAAAUCCUUUGAUCUAUUGAUGACCACCUGUGGCGAAGGCGGUCUACCAGAACACGUCCGACGGUGAGGGAUGAAAGCUGGGGGAGCAAACCGGAUUAGAUACCCGGGUAGUCCCAGCUGUAAACUAUGCAAACUCAGUGAUGCAUUGGCUUGUGGCCAAUGCAGUGCUGCAGGGAAGCCGUUAAGUUUGCCGCCUGGGAAGUACGUACGCAAGUAUGAAACUUAAAGGAAUUGGCGGGGGAGCACCACAAGGGGUGAAGCCUGCGGUUCAAUUGGAGUCAACGCCGGA
RNAcentral lists this ribosomal RNA (850 nucleotides) under uncultured crenarchaeote. Its description in RNAcentral is "bacterial SSU rRNA". It matches the Rfam family "Archaeal small subunit ribosomal RNA", at positions 71 to 922 of the family's 1478-position model. The record is from RNAcentral. Lineage: Archaea; Thermoproteati; Thermoproteota.